RNAcentral lists this ribosomal RNA (371 nucleotides) under Terebellides sp. b GD-2019. Its description in RNAcentral is "partial large subunit ribosomal RNA". It matches the Rfam family "Bacterial large subunit ribosomal RNA", at positions 1996 to 2568 of the family's 2925-position model. The record is from RNAcentral. Lineage: Eukaryota; Metazoa; Annelida; Polychaeta; Terebellida; Trichobranchidae.
AUGGAUAAACGAAGGCUUAACUGUCUCAACUAUAGAAAUAAAAAUUGGCCUUUAGGUGAAAAGACCUAAAUAAAAUUAGAGGACAAAAAGACCCCGUAGAGCUUAGUAUUUUAACAACUUCAUUUUUUGUAUUCUUCUAUAAAAAACACUUUUGCUAAAAAUAUUUGGCUGGGGCGGCUAUGGAGCAAAAAACCUCCACAAACAAACUAAGAUUCACCCAUCUUUAAAUAUUAAAUGAUCCUUAUCUAGAUCAAAGAAAACAGCUACCUCGGGGAUAACAGAUUAAUCCCUUUUGAGAGUUCACAUUGACAAAGGAUUUUGAUACCUCGAUGUUGGCUUAAGGUCCCCGGAGGGUCAGCAGCAGCCCUCUA